This 63-nucleotide transfer RNA is filed under the name Anthocephalum grabatum. RNAcentral describes it as "Alveobothrium grabatum tRNA-Asp". The record is from RNAcentral. Lineage: Eukaryota; Metazoa; Platyhelminthes; Cestoda; Rhinebothriidea; Anthocephaliidae.
GCAAUUUUAGUUUAUACAAAAUGAUAGUUUGUCUCACUAUAGAUGGCCUUUGGCCAAGUUGCU